This 463-nucleotide ribosomal RNA is filed under the name uncultured bacterium. RNAcentral describes it as "partial 16S ribosomal RNA". It matches the Rfam family "Bacterial small subunit ribosomal RNA", at positions 28 to 507 of the family's 1533-position model. The record is from RNAcentral.
GAUGAACGCUGACAGAAUGCUUAACACAUGCAAGUCGAUGGGGAAGUGGUGCUUGCACCAUGGUAACCAUGGCGGACGGGUGAGUAACGCGUAAGGAACUUGCCUGCGGGACUGGGAUAACAGCAGGAAACUGCUGAUAAUACCGGAUAAGGUCAUUAAGCUGCAUAGCUUAGUGAUGAAAGGAGACGCCUGCGGAGAGCCUUGCGUCCUAUUAGCUAGUUGGAGGGGUAACGGCCCACCAAGGCGAAGAUAGGUAGCCGGCCUGAGAGGGUGGACGGCCACAAGGGGACUGAGAUACGGCCGUUACUCCUACGGGAGGCAGCAGUGGGGAAUAUUGGACAAUGGGGGCAACCCUGAUCCAGCAAUUCUGUGUGCACGAAGACGGUUUUCGGAUUGUAAAGUGCUUUCAGCAGGGAAGAAGGAAGUGACGGUACCUGCAGAAGAAGCGACGGCUAAAUACGUG